UCGAGCGAAGUUUUUCUGGUGCUUGCACUAGAAAAACUUAGCGGCGAACGGGUGAGUAACACGUAAAGAACCUGCCUCAUAGACUGGGACAACUAUUGGAAACGAUAGCUAAUACCGGAUAACAGCAUUAACUGCAUGGUUGAUGUUUGAAAGUUGGUUAUGCUAACACUAUGAGAUGGCUUUGCGGUGCAUUAGCUAGUUGGUGGGGUAAAGGCCUACCAAGGCGACGAUGCAUAGCCGACCUGAGAGGGUGAUCGGCCACACUGGGACUGAGACACGGCCCAGACUCCUACGGGAGGCAGCAGUAGGGAAUCUUCCGCAAUGGGCGAAAGCCUGACGGAGCAACGCCGCGUGAGUGAAGAAGGAUUUCGGUUCGUAAAGCUCUGUUGUUAGGGAAGAAUGAUUGUGUAGUAACUAUACACAGUAGAGACGGUACCUAACCAGAAAGCCACGGCUAACUACGUGCCAGCAGCCGCGGUAAUACGUAGGUGGCAAGCGUUGUCCGGAAUUAUUGGGCGUAAAGCGCGCGCAGGUGGUUUAAUAAGUCUGAUGUGAAAGCCCACGGCUCAACCGUGGAGGGUCAUUGGAAACUGUUAAACUUGAGUGCAGGAGAGAAAAGUGGAAUUCCUAGUGUAGCGGUGAAAUGCGUAGAGAUUAGGAGGAACACCAGUGGCGAAGGCGGCUUUUUGGCCUGUAACUGACACUGAGGCGCGAAAGCGUGGUGAGCAAACAGGAUUAGAUACCCUGGUAGUCCACGCCGUAAACGAUGAGUGCUAAGUGUUGGUCUCAUAAGAGAUCAGUGCUGCAGCUAACGCAUUAAGCACUCCGCCUGGGGAGUACGACCGCAAGGUUGAAACUCAAAGGAAUUGACGGGGA
RNAcentral lists this ribosomal RNA (876 nucleotides) under uncultured Gemella sp. RNAcentral's name for it is "bacterial SSU rRNA". It matches the Rfam family "Bacterial small subunit ribosomal RNA", at positions 62 to 919 of the family's 1533-position model. Lineage: Bacteria; Bacillati; Bacillota; Bacilli; Caryophanales; Gemellaceae. The record is from RNAcentral.